RNAcentral lists this long non-coding RNA (24078 nucleotides) under Arabidopsis thaliana (thale cress). RNAcentral's name for it is "long non-coding RNA (ATHA_LNC000204)". The record is from RNAcentral. Lineage: Eukaryota; Viridiplantae; Streptophyta; Magnoliopsida; Brassicales; Brassicaceae.
CAUCAAAAACCUAAGAGAGACUAAACACUGACAAGGACACAAUCGAAUUAACCCCAUUUAGAUCGAAGGAACAUGAAAAUUUUUAGAAAUAGACGGCGAAUAAUUCGUGGAGGAAGCUUUAGUAUUUACCUGCUGAUCGAGUGGCUUUUUCCGGGAAUUUUGCCGAGAAAGAAAGUUUCUGGAGAAAUUGGAAGUAGCGAUUUCGAAAUCUCUGCAGGGACCUAAGCAGACAGAACGAGCCCACUUUUGACGAAGCUGUGUCUUCAAAUCUGGACGUGAACUUUAAACUCAAAUUCUAUUGUGUUAUGGAUAUAUGGGCCUACUUGAAGCCCAUUAAGGUUUUACAACCCAACAUAUAACUCCGCUAUGUUUUCCCUAGAUUUAUGUUGGUUCCUAUAGCUUUUUUACAUAUCCGAAUUUGAAUUAUAGUGAAAGUCAGAUUAUGUAUCCUAACCAAAGAUUGAGAACUUUCGAAUACCGAAAAGAAAUCUUAAACAAAUGCUCGAAUAUAUUUAAAUAAAAAUUCUAAGUAUUAAGUAUAGUUCAUUUUUUUUUUCAAUUAUUUCUCGAUGUUGUUUCAAUUAGCUGUGGAAGUGUACUAUAAUAACCAAAAUUAAGGAUCAUGUGUCGUAGUGGAUUUGAAUGAGCUGGAAGACAAACAUAACAUAUGUAAAUCAAGUGUCAUUAGAUCCCGUUACAUUUAUUUAUUUUAUAUUAUAUGAAAUAUAAAAUUAAUCGAAUAUCCACUAAAACAAAGUUUACGAUAAUUUGUUUUACUAAAAGUUGAUUAUUUUAGUUUUUUUUUUCAAGGAUUAUUUUUCACUACUAUAUUACACUUGUGACUCAAGUCGAUCUAUACAAACUAUCAUGUUUGGGGGCGAUUUAGCACGUUGCAAGCAAUUUUGAAAUAACAAAUGAUAAAUUGUGCACACAGUUUGUUCAUUAGGAUUCUUUAAUAAAAAUAUUGACUCAAUGCAGAGAUUCAAUUUAAUAUUAUAAUAUACUAUAAAUAUGUUCAUAACAUAUUAGAUUAUGCCAAUAAUUUAUAAAUUUCGUAAUUACCUCAAACAAAUCUCUAUUUUAAUAACCAAAAGAUUUCAAAUUGAAAAGAAAAAAACUUUUCUAAAUUAACACAAGAUGAGUUUUUUAGUCAACUCAAAAUAGUAGCUAACUUUUUUAAUUAACUCAAAAUAAUUUAUUUUAGACGCGAUUCAGUUAUGAUAUUUUGAUUUUUGAUCUAAUUGAUUUAUAUGUAAUCUUAUCUUGUAAUUUGUUGACAUAAAUAAACUCAUUUUCAAACUAUAUUAAUUUUUAAAAAAUAAUAUUACUUUCCUUUUUUAUAUCUUAAAUUGUUUUUAUCUAUAAUUGAGUAUCAUAUAUAUAUAUAAAUUCAUUCUAAUAUUAUAUAUAAAGACUAACAAAAAAAAUUCACUUACUACUAUAAUAUUUCAAAACUUUAUUCUAGAAUAUAUAAUAAUAAAAAAUUUGAACUAAAUAAACUCAUAUAUACAUGUUGAUCCAUGUUGAGAGGUUAUGUUGUACUUGUUGUUUUGUUCGGAAUUUCUGAAAUUUGUAGUUUGUGGAGUUGCCUCGUAGAUUUUAGGUUUACAAUCUUAGAGGUAUUAUUGUUCAUGCUUAGAGAUAUUGAUUACUCGUUUUAAGCUUUUAGAUUUGCAUUUGCUUCUUCUAAAUUUUGGAGGUAUUGAUUACUCGUUUAAGCUUCUAGAUUUGUCUUUGUUUCUUCUUCGGCGAUUUUAGGUUUACAAUUUUCUGUCUGAAUCUCUAUUGCUCCUUGUCGCUAUUUUCUGUCUGAAUCUCUGAGUUUAGGUUCAAUUGCUUCUUCUCAAUUCUUCUCCAACUUUUCCUCUUCUUCUCUUAACAAAUGUGUAAUUGGCUAAAAUCUUGGUUUUGUGGACACACUGACAUUAAAACAACUGUGGAUGAUUGUGUUACACUUGUGAAUGGGGAUGUGGAAACUUUGGAAAAUUUGGAAGUUGGUUAUCGGAGGUAGAUCGUGACAACUGAAAAUAAGAGGGGUCAAACUACAAAUGACGGAAGUAAGCUUUUAACAUUGUUAUUGAUAAGUAAGCUUACCAUUCUUACUGAUCUUUGAUCAUUUUCUUUUUUUCUUUUACCACAGAAAUUGCUAUGUACAACGACGAGACUAGACUUUUAGGAUUAGAGUGUGAUUAAACCAACAGACAGUUCACAGCCUUUGGGGAAGAGGUAACCAUUCUUCUUUUUCGAAAUUUUCAUAUGUAUUAUCGUUUUGAUAGUCAUAUCUUUAUAUAUAUAUAUAUAUAUAUAUUUUAUUACAGAUAGCUAAAAUCAUAAGUUUCAAAAGAGCGAGAUAAUUUUUUGGUAGCGUGAAUACUAUGAACAACGUUAGAGCAAGAUACAACUGGUAAGAGUGUUUAAAGUUUAAAUUAUCUAAAUAUUUCAUAUUUAAUAUCUGAUAAAUGUUUUUUAUACCUUUUUUUUUUGGCAGAGGGGAAAAAUAGUACAAAGCAUGAUCGUCCGUAUAUAGUAAAACAAAAGAAAAAAAUCGGUUGUUUUCCAGAAAAAUCAAGUACUAUAGGAUUUUGGUUUAAGAGUACCCUACUAUGUUGUUAUUAUGUGAAGUCACUAUUCAAAUUUUGUUCCACUGCAUUUGUUUCAGCUUUAUUUGUUCCCCUUUUUUUCUUUCCUUCUAAUUCUGGUAUUCUUAAAAGGAAAAAAUGAGGGACCAACGGUCAUAUUGCAACGGGCGUCAUUCUCUCGGUAGUGACACGUGCUAUAAUGCCCACUUUUAUUCAUUUUUAUUGUAAACAAGUUGUUUAAAACCAUCAAUAAACGGGGACAAGAACCAAACAUCAACAAUUAUAACAACGCGUUUUGUUAUAAGGAUAAAUUUAUCAUUUUUCUUCUAUCAAAACCCAAUGAUCAUACCCUUGAAUCUUGCUUGAUCACGCGUAUCCUCCAACUUCCAGUAGAUUAAAUUUCCCAAGUACUUAACGUUACUUUUAGUUUAUCCUUUUAACUCCUUUUUAAUUUUCUGAAUCAAUACCAGGUAAAUCAGGGGGGUUCAAACUUAGUCUAUCUUCUUAACUCUUUUUUGUUUUUAAAUGUUUUGUAGACUAUGUAAACUCUCAUCCUAAAUCUACUUUUUAACUUUUCUAUCGAUAGCAAUAAAAAGUUGUAAAGUAUCUACACAAAAACAAGAUGAAAUGGUCAAAAGUCUGUGACUAGCUAGUGUUUGUAUUUUAAUUCAGAAAGACUUUAAUGAGUUUAUAGUCGUGCUCUUUAGUGUUAAAAUAACAAUUACUCCUAGACUUUUAGUUAUUUUUUAUUGCAUUCUUGGAUAUCCUCCAACAAUAUUGUAUUAUUCAAAAAAUUUUUUACUAAAGUCCAUAAAGCAAUGAGGUAACGUCUAGGUCAAUUAAUGGAUGGAUCAUCCAACGGUUGUACCAAAAAAUACUAUAGAGAUUAAAAAAAAGCAUAUCUCUGAAUUAUUAUUAUUUACGUCCCCAUCUCUCUUCCUCUAUAAAUAGUAUAAGCAGAGACAAUAUUCAUUUCAAGUUCCUCUGUAUACCAAACUAUCAAAAAAACUCUCUCCAUUUCUGUUCUCAACAAAGCCAAGAGUUAUGGUGAGAGUCUUUCUUCUCUACAACCUCUUUAACUCCUUUCUUCUUUGUUUAGUUCCCAAGAAGCUUAGAGUUUUCUUCCCUCCUUCUUGGUACAUCGACGACAAGAACCCACCACCGCCUGAUGAAUCGGAAACUGAAUCUCCGGUAGAUCUAAAACGAGUGUUUCAGAUGUUCGACAAGAACGGAGAUGGACGCAUCACAAAGGAAGAGCUGAACGAUUCUCUAGAGAAUCUAGGAAUCUUUAUGCCUGACAAAGAUCUGAUCCAGAUGAUCCAGAAGAUGGAUGCAAAUGGAGAUGGGUGUGUAGACAUAAACGAGUUUGAGUCUCUUUAUGGUUCGAUUGUGGAGGAAAAGGAGGAAGGGGACAUGAGAGACGCGUUCAAUGUGUUUGAUCAAGACGGUGAUGGAUUUAUCACUGUUGAGGAGUUGAAUUCUGUGAUGACUUCCUUGGGGCUCAAGCAAGGUAAAACCCUAGAAUGUUGUAAAGAGAUGAUUAUGCAAGUGGAUGAAGAUGGAGAUGGUAGAGUCAAUUACAAGGAAUUCCUUCAGAUGAUGAAAAGUGGUGACUUUAGCAAUAGAUCAUGAGUUUAUUCUGACAUGGAGAAGAAGGACCAAUAUAUUUACCUCUAGUCCUCUACUAUAUAUGAUUAAUGUAUCAGCUUUCUCCAAGUUAAGAAAUUUGGGCAGGGAUCGAAUCAACGCAAAUAGUAAAUAAGUAACUUGACAUAGAGUCUAGGAAAUUUCAUCAAUCCACGAAUCAUUCAUACAUAAUAUAUCUUUGUUUGGGGUAUAGUACCAUAAGAUAUAGAUAGAUAAGAGUCUAAAAAGAAGAAAAACAAGUAAAAUUAAAGAAGAAACAAAAUUGCCUAGUCUUUUGGGCGGUGGUGAAAUCUCUAUGCUGCAAUGCUUUAUCAAUAUGUUUUUGUUGGAGUCUUUCGACGAAACCCAACUGUUUUCACAGAAGAAAGUGAAAGCCAAGCAAAACGUUAAUUCAGUAAUAAAAUCCCUUUUUAAUAAAAAUAUGUAAAAUAAAAUAAAAUGCUGGCCGAUCAUAGCUCACUUCUUUUUGAAGAUACAGCCGCAAAGUGGCAUGGUAUUUAGCUUCCUUUUCGGCUUUCUCCUUUCUUUCCAAAUGUACUGAUCAUCAAGUUGCAUGAAAAUUAUUACUAGAGAGGUAAAUCAAAUAUUAUAAGUAAUUGCUACAGAAGGUAGGAAAAAAAAAAGAUGUGGUCGUAGUCGUAGUACACGGUUCGUAUAUCCCCCCGUAUUUGCGAGAUACCGCAAGCGAUGUGGCAGCCUGGUCCAGCCAGUAUUCCUCAGAUGUUGCAACACCCUCAAUCGACUGAUAUGAACGUACAAUGAGAAAGACAAAAUAUACCAAUACUAAUUAAUAUAGACUUAGUUAUAUAUAUAGAAAAUGGAUUCAAGCCUUAUUAUAUGCAUAGUCAAUUUCAGAAAGAUGCAAUUCAAGAGAUGAAACAUACGUUGUUUAACUUGACUAUAUCCUUUUGAAGAGCUUUGAUCUUCUUUAUGGACUUGUCGACGAACAUAGUACUACCGGAGUUGAAAAAGCCCAUUCGAAUCCAAAACAAUCUUUAAAAAAAAAACAAAGAAGAUUAGCUAGGGCUUAUCGAUCAGUCUUUUUACGAUCAUAAGACGAUGUAAUUCGAGAUGGACACAAACCUGACGGAUGCUGAAGCAAUUUAGCUCUGAGCGAAGAAUUCAAAGACCUUUUGCCUUAUGGGUUAAUGGUUUCAUGGAAAUCAUAUGUAACAAAAAGAAAAAGAUAAAGUGCAGCUCUAUAUAAAAACUUCCAAUUUGCUUCCCCAAAAAAUAUUGUGUAUCUUCUAAUAAAUUUGUCAAUACGUGACCCAUUUUGGAAACAGGAUAUAUAUAUUUUUUACGAAAUUCUUUAAACAGCAAAAUAGAGAUAUGUACAUUAAGACUAGUAAGAAAAUAAUAAGAAGAAUAGAAAAGUUAAAUAAAUAUUCCAAAAAGAAAAAAUCUCAUUUUUCUUAAUCAAAAACGGAUUGUAAGAACCCGGCCUGAUUCAGCUGUUAUCGGCCCAACUUACAAAAUGGGCUUUCAACAAGUGCAGAGGCCUAACUAGAUAAUUAGAGAUGGAAGAAGGCCCAACACCUUGAUGUAAAUUUAGAGAAAAGUACGACGCCGCCCUUUCUCGCUUUGAGUAGAAGUCAUACUGUCAAAGGGUAUAUCUGUCUUUUAAAAAAAGAAUUUAAAUUAAAUAAAAGCAAGGAAAUUGAGUGGGGAAAGCAGAAAAUUAAGAAAGGAGAGAGUUUGAAGUUUGAAAAGUUGGGAGAGAAACGAAGCAAGCGGAGGUGUGGAGAACAGGUGUGUUCGUUGUCGACGCCGUGCUUGGAGAACAGGUUUUCUUCUUCUUUGCUCUUCCUUCAAUGCCGUAUUAAGCUUCUUCUUCUUCAACUUUUGCUGUCUAAAAGUUGUAUUAUCUUAUUUUCAGCUUCUAGAUUUUCGAUUUGCCUUGUGCUCCUUGUUGAUUUUAGGUUUUAGUUUUGCCUGAUUCUUCUCGAUUUAGGUUACUAUGGUUGGUUCAAACAUUGGAUUGUUGCUAAUUUGAUUUUGAAUUUUGCAUUUGGUCUCUGAUUCAAAUUAGGCACAAGAGAAGGCGGAUCUUGUGCUUCUCAUCUCUACUUGGAUCGAUUGUUGCUACUUUGCUUUAGUUUCAUAUCUCGUCUCUGAUUUGACUGAGACGACUUGUGCGUAUAAUCGAUUGUUUUUUUGCAAUUCGUCUCUGAUUUGACUGAGACUAAGAACUCUCUCGUGCAUCAUAUCAUCUCUGCUAUGAUCGAUUGUUAUUUUGAGUGACUUUUGCAUUUCGUUUCUGAGACGAAGAAAGCUAUUGUGCUUUUCAUCUUUAUUGUUUCUGAUUAUCUUACAAUGUUGUUAAUUGAUGAGUGUUUAUUUGAAGCAUGCAUUUGUGGUCCGAUUUUGUUGACUGUAACUCUGGCUCAGUGAUGUUUGUGAAUUUAUUUUUGUCCUGUCUCUUUAUCACGACCUUGUUCUUUUGACUGAGUUUUGGUUACUAUCAUUGGUUGAAAUGAUGAAGAAAACACUCUUGUGCUUCUUUGCUCUACUAUUGUUGGCGUCUAAGAGUACUCAAGAUUCAUGCAUUUCCCUUUUUCUGCCAUUGCUUUAUAUAUUUUCACACAUGAUGUUUCUUAAUUUGACACAGGAUAUUCCAGUGGCUUAAACGGUGUCUCUGUGGAGACACAAACAUAACUAUUGAUCAGGCAAUAGCUUUGGUUGAUGAAGAGAUCGCCAACUUGCGAAAAUUGGAGCGAGGGUAUCAAACUAAUAUCCGCAACGCAGAAAAUGCCAGAGAUCAAACUAAUGUCCAGAUAGGUACUAUUUCUACUCGUCUAGUCACUUCAAUAUUGUUUCUUAAUAUUGUUGGUUAAUUCUCUUCUGUUGUUUUAUCGCAGAAAGGGACAGCUUCAACGAUACUAUUCGACUUUUACAAGCAGAGUGUAAUCUCAUCAACCUAGAGAUCCCAACCCUCAAUGAAGAGGUAAAUCUUUAUAUGUAUUUUGGUUUUGACGGCUCUCAAACCAUAUCAUUUUUAUUUAUUUAUAUGAUUCUUCUAAAUGUUAUUAUUAUAUUGGAUUUUGUUACAGAAAUUUGCGAUUACAAGGUUGAAAUCAGCAAAACAUUUCUUUGGUGCUGUUAGUUCGGUGAACAAGACCAGAGAAAGAUACCACCAGUGGUAAGAGUUUUUCUUUAAAAUAUGUACCUAGAUUAUUUCUUUUUUAAUUUCAGAAAAAAUGUUUUUAAUACUGAUUUUUUUUUUCUUUUGGCAGAGGGUAAUAAAGAAGAGAAGAUCUAUCGUGUUUAAAUUGCUUUGCGAAUCAAGUUGCUUGCAUUUUGCAUUAGGCAAUAAAAUACCAAAUAAAGUACUCUAUCUUCACUUCCUAUGGAAUUGGCCUUUUUUGAACUAUUCGAUGGUUUGUUUUGAAUACUGAUUGCUUUGUGAAAAUAGAAUUCACCAGCCACUUCUCAAUAUUGUCACAUGUUUCUGAUUUCAGUUUUCUAUUUAUAGACCUAGAAACAUACAACAUUUACGAGAUACUAAGUAAUCAGAAAAUGAAGAUAUAUCAUUCCACUAAUGUUCAUCGCCUUGGUCGUACUCUUGACAUCAUUCCCCACUCCAACGCUCUCUUAUUGCAAAUGGUCACUUCAUUUGUGACUGCUAAAUUUGAAAGAUAAAGCCACGUGGGAGAAAUGUUGUGAUAGACUAAUAAUAGCAGGUCCUAUUGGUUAAUAAAUUCGUAUUGUUUAGUCCCCAAGAAGCUUAGAAUUCACUUCCCUCCGAUCCUUUUUGGCUUCCUUGAAGCUCAAGGAAGGUAAAGCCCUAGAGUGUUGUAAAGAAAUGAUUAAGCAAGUGGAUGAAGAUGGACAUGGUAGAGUCGAUUACAAGGAGUUUCUUCAGAUGAUGAAAACUGGUGACUUUAGCAAUAGAUGAGUUGAUCUUUUUAGGGUUCAUAGUUUCUAUAUCUAAUUGGGUUUAUCUAUUUUCUCUGUAAACUAAAUAAAUUCUGAAAAUAAAAAAUAAUCUGAAAUCCUGAAAAGAAUUUUUUAAAAAUAAUUAGACAAAGAGAUUUGACUAGUCACUUGCUUGGGUGUUGUAAGUCAAACAACAUGGAGAAGAAGGACUAAUCAAUUUACCUCUACUAUGAUUAAUGUAUCAGCUUUCUCCAAGUUAAGAAAUUUGGGCAGGGAUCGAGUCAACGCAGAUAGUAAAUAAGAAACUAGGCAUAAAUUGUAGGAAAUUUCAUCAACCUACGAAUCGUCAUUCAUACAUAAUUUAUCUAUGUUUGGGGUAAAGUAUUAUUUCUUUAAUGAAGAAGAAACAAAAUUGUCUAGUCUUUUGGGCGGUGGCGAAAUCUCUAUCCUGCGAUGCUUGAAUAUGUUUUUGUUUGAGUCUUUCGACGAAAACCAACUGUUUUCACAAAGAAAAAAGUGAAAGCCAAACAAAACGUUUAUUCAGUUAAAAAAAUAAAUCCAUGUAAUAAAUUAUGUAAGCAAACUUAAUUAAAAUGAUCGGAUCCUCACUUCUUCUUGAAGAUACAGCCGCAAAGUGGCAUAGUAUUUAGCUUCUUUUUCGGCUUUCUCCUUUCUUUCCAGAUGUACUGAUCAUCAAGUUACAUUGAUCAUCAAGUUACAUGAAAAAAAUGAAAAAAAAAAAAAAAAAAAAAAAAGUUACAUGAAAAUUAUUACUAGAGAGGUAUAUCAAACAUUAUAUGUAAUUAUUGCUACAGAAAGUGUAAAAAACUAAAAACUGAAAUAUCUUCCAAGAAGCUCAUAUCAACAUCACUUAUCGGGAAAUCAAGCAGAAGUCGAAGAGCAGAGUCUGUUGAAUCACCUUCAAGAUCAUUUGAACAUGGAGAAGACUCUGAGCCAUGAAUCGCCACAGUAACCUCCUCCAUAAGAAUUUGUUGAGCUCUUUAAAAGUGCAGAGGAGGUAGACGUUGUUCCUCGAGUUGAGGAGUUGAAGUCUGUGAUGUUUUUCCUUAGGGCUCAAGCAAGGUUAAAAAGAGAUGAUUAAGCAAGUGUGUGGAGAUGGAGAUGGAGAUGGUAGAGCAGUCAAUUACAAGGAGUUUAUUCAGAUGAUGAAAACCGGUGACUUUAGCAAUAGAUCAUGAGUUGAUCUUUUUUAGGGUUCAGAGUUUUUAUGUCUAACUGGUUUAUCUAUUUUCUCCGUAAGUAAAUUCUGAGAUCAUGAUUUGAAUUUGAUAAAAAUAACUAGACAAAGAGAUUUGACUUUGUCACUUGCUAUGGUUUUGGUACUGGUUUAUAAUUAUGACAACGUUGCCUUUGAUGAGACAGACUUCCCCAUUUUUGUCUGAUUAAUUCAUCCAAUAAUGCUUAAUCUUCAUUCAUACUACUGCGAUCAGCAAAUUUUCAAUGUCUUUUCUAACAUAGUGAAUGAGAAUACAAGAACAUGGUGCUUGUUUUGUUUUUUUUCUCCUACCAAAACAACAAACAAUCUAGUAUAUAUAAAUGUCACUAACUUGAGCCUAAUAAAUAAAGGGACAAUUUAUAUGGUUCGACCAAACACUCGAAGUUUUUUGAAAACAAUUUUGGUCAAUUUCUACAUUCGUUUUUUUUUUUGCAUUACGUUCAAUCAUUUUUAAAUGGCUUAGCGAAUCAAGAUGCUUGCAUUUCGCAUUAGGCAAUAAAAUACCAAAUAAAGUGCUCUUAUCUCCACUUCCUAUGGAAUCGGCCUUUUGAACUAUUCAAUGGUUUGUUUUGAAUACUAAUUGCUUUGUAAAAAUAGAAUAUCACCACUUCUCAUUAUUGCCACAUGUUUCUGAUUUCAGUUUUCUAUUUAAAGACCUAGAAACAUAUAUACAACAUUAGAUACUAAGUUAUCAGAAAAUGAAGAACAUUUCAUUGAUGUUCAUCGCCUUGGUUGUACUCUUGACAUCAUUCCCCACUCCAACGCUCUCUUAUUGCAAAGAGUCACUUCAUUUAUGCAUGCAACAUUUGAAGUUGAACGAUAGACCCACGUGGUUGAAGUGUUGUGAUAGACUAAUAAUACCAGGACCAUGUAUGUGUAAGUAUAUUAAAGAUCCUGUACAAUGGAAAGAAGCUUAUCGUCUUAUGGCUUCUUGUGGAAAGACUGUUCCUCUAAAUCAAAGUCUCAAGUCCUAUUUCAAGUGUGGCUAAAAAUAGUCAACCAACAAAAGCAAUAAGCGGUCGUCAAGCCGAACCGGAGAUACUUAAUAAGAUUAGUUAAUCAAGUCUUUCCUUGUCUUUUUUUAAUCGUAUAAGUUGUUGCUCUAAUUGGCCUUCAUUAUAUUUAUGAACCAUCUCUCCCACAUUCCACGUUUUUCUUGCUUUUUGGAAUUACUAUUUCACUCUUUCAAAUUCGAUACUUUGUACUUGCUUUUAUUUAAAGAAAUAAAAAAGUAGUCUACUUCUAUUUAAAGAAACAAAAAAAAAGUAGUCUAAACUAGAGAAAACGGCAUGUACGCGUUAAUUAUGCAUACAUCCUUGGCCCUUGGGACUAUUCUUGUGAUUUCACUUCAUAAUUAACUGUCACACAAACAUGGCCAAGAUGGUAUCAAGAAGGGAAAAGAUGGUAUCUACUAUCUAGAACUCUCAGGCGUCCAUUCUCGUGUUUGUGAGUUUAUUAAAGGGUGUGGUCCCCGACUCUUUCAAAUGUAUUUAUAACAAGUUUAAUUAGUUCACAUGUCGCGAUUGUUAUGACGACACAAGAAAUUAUCGUUUUCCCUUUAUAACGUUGUCGUUACGAACUUCCUUAAAUCCCCCAAAAAAAGUUUUGUUUCCUAAUUAUCCUAUAAUUAGUUGAUGAUGUUAGGGUUUGAAAACUUAAUAUAGCGAAGAAAAACGGUUUACUAUACUUAAUUAUGAGCGUAUUUUCUUUACGUUUGCCACUUUCUUUCUUUGCAUGGACAUUCACUAAGAGCGUGUGUUUGUGUUUCAGGUGAUUCUUCGCUGUGUUAGACGUGGACUACUUCUACCGGUGUUCAACAAUCUGGUAAGCUUGUCUUUUGGGAGUACGAACAAAAGAGGUUGGAAACUGCUGCCACUUCUGAUUGAGCAGUCUCCAAAGCUUGAAACUCUAAUCAUCCAGGUACGUAUCAUUAGCUAAUAUAUCUAAAGAGAGUCAGAGAUUAGGGACUUAGUGGUUGAGCCUUUACAUCCAUCUUCUUGAUGCUUUUCCAGGGGCUGGAUAGAGUUACACAGGCGAUGUGACCAUGCCUCCGUUCCAAGUGAAGAUGCUGCAUGUUCAUGGUUAUGGAGGAAAUGCGGAAGAGGUGGAACGCUUACAUAAAUUUAUUGGGGAGUCGGAAUGCGGUGAAGUGGUGCUAGGCUGCGGAAGCUGUGGUGGAUAAUACCAUGUAUUGCAAACCAAAAGGGUUCUAUAGUCUAUAGUUGAGGCUUCCUGGAUUUUCGGUUUCAUCCAAAUGCAAGAUCUCAUGUAGUUUACCAAAUUAUUCUGUGUAACAAUUCAUGUACAUGUCGCAUUGCUCUUGCAGUUGCAAGGGCCUCUUUAAUUUCAGGGAGCUAUUUUUCUGUAUCUUUUGGCAGUCUCUCCCUUAGAUGAUACACGAGUAACCUUACCUACCUCGUCAAACUCCACCUGGCAUAAGAUUAACAUUUCUGUAUUUGAUGACUACAUCGUCCCUACAAUGCAAUUUCACACUUCUUUCCACUCUUGCAGACUUUACACAAUAUGUGGUCCAUUAGCUUGGAUUUUCAGUUUCAUCCAAGUGCAACAUCUUAGACGAUGAAAGGUGGUGAUUAACAAGCUGAUUUGAUUCUUCACUUUCUGAUUUGUGAUCUUAAAUAGAGUUUUAGGAUUCUUCCAAUCUGUAGUAUAUAUAGCUUACUAGUUUUUACCAGCAGAAAGAUCUUCAGGAGAAUGCCGAUUUAAUUAGAGCGUAAAAAGUAAAAACCCUUCACUUUAUGUGCACUAACCUAUGGCUAUGCAUCAUCCGAACGAAACCAAUGUCAGAACAGAAGAAGAAGAAGAAUAAACAAAACUUUCUUUAAGGCAAUUGAAGCUCUUUUGUUUUCGACAAGAAAAAUCUUUAUUAAAGAGAGAAAAUGGGGGAAGAGAAGAUCUAUCUCCUAAAUCAAAGUGCUGAAAAACCAGAGACCAAAAGACUAUACUUGGUGGUUCUGUUGAUGAUCUCUCUGUUCCAGAUUCCUCACAUUGUCUACUAUGUGUUGGAUUCUCUUAGAAAGGCUUUCGUUGUGCUGUUCGAUCUGUUCAAAUAGCAUCUCCAGAUGUCUUUUGUAAGUAGCCGCUCUCUUUUUCUCUGCUGCUAGCUGCUGCAUCAGUUCCUGAAUUUUGUCGUGUUCGUUCUGCAAAUGAGGAGAGCAAAGUUUUAGAAUUUAAGUCUUUUCUAGUAACAACUGAUAUAUAAGCAAAAUCAAAACACCAGCACAUGAAUAUGAAUAUGCUAUAUAGCAACUAGUCACGAACCAGUAUCACAUCAGCAUAUAUAUAUAUAUUAACCAGCUAACCAAGAAACGCCAAUUUGGAUUUUCAAAUGCAAUGGCUGAAUAUAAAGAAAUAUUGACCAACGAAAGAGAGUAACAACUAACCGGAUAUUGAUCAUAAAUGCAACCCCUUCGAACUCUGCCAGGCAUCAAAGAGUGAUUGUGCUCCUUGACAAACUUUGUGAUAACCCAUUUACCAGAGUUCUCUUUUCUAAUCAAGAUCAUUGCUUUACAUCCAACCCUUGUUUCCGCUCUUUGUCUAAUAACCUUAUCCCGCUUGCUAGGCAACCUGUAACCUUCCUUGUUACAAACAAGUUGCCUGCCUAUGGGAGAUCCAUCAUGCCUUGACCGUGACAGUUUACUAACACGGAUGACGAACCCUACUUUAGUAGCAUACGCAUUAUAAAAACCAUGAGCCGCUGCUUCAGAUUCGAACUCCUGGCCAACGUAAGGCUCAUCUCCUUGAGCCUCUGUCAUAUCUGCAACAGCCAGAGGAAUAGAAUCAAGAUCCACCUUCUCAUCUUGCUCACCAGAAUUUUCACCGAGUUCAUUAUGGUUGUCAUCAUCUUGCUCAAUCAUUGCUUGACCAGAGCUUUCACCCAUUUCAUUAUGAUUCUCAACCGUGGUAACCUCAAGCUCAACAGGAAUCCCCAUCAUCAUCCCAGCAGCUACUCCAUUAUCAAUCCUGAAAUCCACUGCAACUCAAAAAAAGGGAAAACAGCAAUUCCACUAAUCAAAUAUCUAGCAAGAAGAGCUACAAGUGUUCAUCAUCUUACUAAUACAAAGUUGUCAUCUUUUCUAUUCCACUGUCUAAUUCAAGAUAUGAGAACAAAGCUCAAGUACAAGUGCUCUCAAAAUCAUCCAGCCUCCACCAACAAUACAAAACAAACUUAAAAUGGAACCAUUCUUUGGGAUUCACCGUCCCAUAGAUUCAAGAGUCAUCAACAAAUCGGGGUUUCCAAAAGUAUCGAGAUGUCCAACUUCUCAGUCUCAUUCUUUCGCAGGGACUAGUCUAAGUGGCUUAAUCGAUCAAUCCAAAAUCGAAAAUUAAAAACCCGAAAUAAUGGUGUAAGGAAUAAAACAAUCUUACUGGUCAAAAGAUAUUUUCCGGCAGAUGUAGGUCGGAGACGACGAUCGAAUUAGGUUUUCGAUUUGGGGGAGAGACAGAGAAGGUGCCGGUUCAGGGUAUGGAUUGCAGAGGACGCAGUACCCUAUGACGUGGCGAUAGAUGAUUGGGUCAAAAUCGGAAAGAAGUCAACUCACCGUUCAUCUAAGCUUUGGGUUUAUCGACUUAUGGUUCCUCCGGUGCGCUUCGCCUCGUAUGAUUAUUCCUCAUGUUCUUUUUUUUUCUUUCAUUACAUGUUUAUUUUAUUUUAUUUUUUACAGCGUAAUUCUCGCCGACCGACGCACCCGUUAGACCGGUGUGUCCAUGACUUUUAAUAAAUGUUAAAAUUGACCCCUUUAUUAUCCUUCAUUUACAUAAUCAUCCUUGUACUAACAAAAUUUCUCUAAUUUCUAGCAUUCAUUUUGUUCGUGUCAACCAGGCCAAUUCAGCCGGUUUAAUUAACUUUCUUUAAAAUGCUAUUGAUAACCAGCUAAUGAUGGUUUAGUAUACGAUUUGACUACCAAACUACAUUAGCUAAGUUUUUUUAAUCAUAGAAAUUUUGAAUAGCAAAAAACUUAUUACAUAGUAAUAUAUUCAGUUACUUAUAUUUCAUGAUUUAGCUUAUAUCACUGUUAUCAUCGAAACCUAUCCAGAUAGUUUUAGGCAUGACCACGGUUACGGUUAUUACGGUUACGGUUUAUUAACCACCGUAUAUGAUUAUAACUUUUUUUAACCUUAACAUUAACCGUUAUAUAUACGGUUAAAACGGUUACGGUUAAAUACGGUUAUGGUUAGAUACGGUUACGGUUAUUUGAUAAUUAUGAUAUAAUUAAUAUAUGAGACAAAAUAUUAUAUUAAUCUUUAUAAUAAAAUAAAUAAAUAAAUAGUGAUAUAUCAAAUAAUAAUUAUUUUACGUGAUUAUGUGUUUCAAAUAUUUAUAGCGAAUCAGCUAUCUAUUUUUUUUAAAUAAACCAAUGAAUAUACAAAUUAAUGGUUAUAAUUAUAAUGAUUUAAUUAAUUAUAUUUUUCAAACAAAAACAAUAAUAAAGAAAAGAUGUUAUGAGCACUAAGAAACAGUUUUUAGAGUAUAAAUAAUAAUAAUAUGAACUACUUAUGAUUUGAUUUAUGGUAAAAAGAGUAGUGGAGUAACUUCGAUCGUAUUAGUGGGCAUAUUAAACGAUUUAAGUUACUAUUUUAGUAAAAUAAUUAUUUAUUUAGAAUUAUACACAGUUACAACUAUAUUUUUAAGGUUUUAAUAAUACGGUUAACCGCGCGGUUAAACGUACGGUUAACCAACGGUUUUGAUACGGUUACGGUUAUUAUAUUUUUUUAACCGUAAUGAAUCUAUUUUCACGGUUAACAGUUACGGUUAUUAACCGUUUUAUACGGUUACGGUUGGGUUACGGUUAAUAAACGGUCCGAUUACGGUCCGAAAUACAGUUACAGUUAGAUUUUGGUCAUGCCUAGAUAAUUCGCAACUCUAGAUUUUUAUAGACAUUAUAAAUCAUCCACAUAUAUAUGAAUCAGUAAUCCAAAAAAAAAGAUCUGUAACAUAUGGUUUUCUUUCGUUGCGUUUUAAAAUAUCCAUUUUAUUUAGCAUUUAUUAAAAAUUCUCUUCACUUUUUUUUUUUUUUUUGGAAAUCAAUAAAUCGCUUUAAUUACGUGGAAUAAAACGUCUAAGAAGAAGGAUAGUCGUUAGUUAGUAGUGAUAACUGAUGCAUAAAAUAUAACUUGGGAAAUAGGAAACCAAAUAGUGUUGGUACUUGGUAGAUAGUCUCUGAUAAAUAAAAAGAUCAUACAUGUCAAAGCUAGCCCCGUUUAUAAAAUUUGUAACAGAUUUGCAUUUCUCGAUUUAGUAGAUUUACAUGAGAUAAUAUCUUGUGUAAUCGGAAAUAAAAGUUAUCCUAACAAAUGAGAUAAUCGAAAUUAGAGGAGGAUAUUAACAUAUUUAUCCAACAACGGAUAUAAGCCCCUCGUAAUUAACCUUGCGAAAUUAAAUUAUAACAAAUCAUUCAUUAAUACAUUUCGAUUUUGGUAGAUUUGCCUAAAAAAUUAUCCAUGAAUGGUAUUUUAUUGAAAAAGAAAGUUAUCCAAAACAAACAAAAUAUUCGGAGUCAAAAGAGGAGGAUUAAUAGUAUCUUUUACUCCCCUUAAUAGUACUAUCUUAACAACGGAUAAGCCCCUAAUAAAUUAACCUUGUGAAAUACGUCGUCUAGGUCCCAUUGAAGAAGCAUAAAAUCUGGUCAAAAACAUUAAUCACUAUUUACUCUAAAUCUCACCAAAUCAUAACAUAUAUGUAAACAACCAAUAGAAUAUUACGAUUAAAAAAUAAGUUACCAAACACAGUUUAGAUAUCUUAUCUGAUCAAUCUUUAAAUGGAUAAAUUUGAAUUUGUAUUAAUUAAAAGUCUUGUGGAUUUGACUAAACCACUCACCCUAAUACCUCUAUAUAAACCCUUGAUUCUCUCUAAUACCUCUCAUUAUAUCCAAAACAUAAUCUCUCUCUAUCUCUCUCUAUUUUGCUCAAUCUUAAUCGUCCGAUCAAAACACUCCGACUAAAAAUGGCUGCAUCUAACGGCGAGAAAAGCUUGAUCGUGAGCUUCGGUGAAAUGCUCAUCGAUUUCGUCCCAACCGUCUCCGGUGUAUCCCUCGCCGAUGCUCCUGGCUUCAUCAAAGCCCCCGGUGGUGCACCUGCCAACGUUGCCAUCGCCAUUUCCCGUCUAGGCGGUCGUGCCGCUUUCGUUGGAAAACUCGGUGACGACGAGUUCGGUCACAUGCUCGCCGGAAUCUUGAAACAGAACGGUGUCUCUGCUGAAGGUAUCAAUUUCGACACUGGAGCCAGGACUGCACUUGCGUUCGUGACACUAAGAUCUGAUGGAGAACGUGAGUUCAUGUUCUACCGGAACCCUAGUGCCGAUAUGCUCCUCCGUCCCGACGAGCUCAAUCUUGAUGUCAUCAGAUCUGUACGUUAUUUUUAUUUUUAAUUAAUAUAUGACACGUAGGCAAAUUCUUUUUUGGGUCCGUGUCUCACAUUUAAUUAGCGAACGGUGCUACAUCAUUAACGUAACGGUUGUUGGUAUACGUAACGUAGAUGUCAAGUUAGGUUAAUGAGUGCUCUGUUUUGUUUUUGUUUUACACAGGCUAAGGUGUUCCACUACGGAUCCAUAAGCUUGAUCGUUGAGCCAUGUCGAUCUGCUCACUUGAAAGCCAUGGAGGUGGCUAAGGAAGCUGGUGCGUUGCUUUCAUAUGAUCCGAACUUGAGGCUUCCUUUGUGGCCCUCGAAGGAGGAGGCUCAGAAGCAGAUUCUUAGCAUCUGGGACAAAGCUGAAGUGAUCAAAGUCAGCGAUGAAGAGCUUAUGUUCUUGACUGGAUCUGAUAAGGUUGAUGAUGAGACUGCUUUGUCUCUGUGGCACUCUAAUCUGAAACUUCUCUUGGUCACUCUAGGUGAAAAGGGUUGUAGAUACUACACCAAGGUAAUGGUUUUCGAAGAGUUUUUCUUUCUUGUGGAUUUGACUUUACCAUUAAUGUUACUUAAGUUGUGUUCUUGUAUGUAUAUGAUUACAGAGCUUCCGUGGAUCUGUUGAUCCCUUCCAUGUGGAUGCAGUAGAUACAACUGGUGCUGGUGAUUCAUUUGUUGGUGCAUUGCUUUGCAAGAUUGUUGAUGACCGUGCUGUGCUUGAGGUAUAUACCAAAUAAUUCAUCAAAUCAUUCUGCAAGUUUUUAUAGAUUGUUUUCAGAUUCUUGACUGUGUUCUUUCUUGCUUUUUACAGGACGAAGCUCGGCUGAGAGAAGUGCUUAGGCUUGCGAAUGCUUGUGGAGCCAUCACAACAACAAAGAAAGGAGCUAUUCCAGCUCUCCCUACAGAGUCUGAAGUUCAGAGCCUCCUGAAAGGAAACUGAUUUCACAAUGUCUGGAUUUUUAGGACUUCAAGUUUUACCUUUUCUUGGCUUUGUUUUUUAUUUUCCCCUGCUUUUGGCUCUGUGUUCUUGUAGAACCGUUCUAUUCUGUUAUGAAUCUCGUUUUAUUCCAAUUGCAAGGUUUUUUGUCGUUUGAGUAACUUUGAUGAAUAAAAACUCUUUACCAAGUUCAGUGAACAACUGUCUGAAAUGUAAAAAGCCUCAAAGCACAAUUGCUUGAGGAUAACAUUCAGAAACUUGCAAAUCUAAUGAUCUCCAAAUGUGUUUGCAUUCUUCCCACCUUGAACUCAUCCUCUCCAGAAAUUUUUCAGCCCACACUUCCUUGCUACCUUCCAUACUCAGAUCAUAUGGCACUGAAAAACUGAGUCGAUUCACAAAACACACUUUUACAUAAACAUUUUUGCUUAGGCAGUAAAGUUAUCAUCUUGGUUUUGAAGUUCUUAUACCUUGUUAGCUCUUCUAAAUGAGAGUCCUUCUCGGUGGUACCAUUCCUAAAAUAUCUUGAGUUAGACACCCAAGUAAUAAUAAGAUACUUGAGUUACAAAUAUACAAUAGCUUGCCUGCAUACUAGAACUUUGAAUAGGCGGAGGGAUUUGGUGGAUAGGUUGUAGAUUGCUUCUUCUAUGUGAUCUGUGCCAAAUAGAUACACAACUGGAUAGUCCAGCAGCCAUCUGCAGAUACAGAUAGAACACAAUGGUAUGAUAAAUUGAAAUAACUAAUGGAGUAAUGGUGGACGAAUCUUAAAACGAAUUGGGCAAUUACCCGUUUAAGGUUGGGAUUGUAACUUUAGUGUCUUGUAAACAACAGCUAAGAUCAAUGCAUAAAGAAGUCUGAGAAGAGUUGGCCUCAUCAAGUACCGUAGUGGUAUCAGUAUUGCUGUCAUCUAAAGGAAAUGUCGAAGAGAAUAGCUUCUGAAUCGAUCUAAGCUGCAUCCCCAGAUUGCUUUCCUUGCUUUGUGUUACCAUCUUGAUACAAACAAAGGAAAAGACAAGAUAAAUCCAACGUGUAUUGUAACAUGAAAAGAGAAACCACUUAACAAAUACAAAAGCUUUAUAAAAGGAACAACCUUUGGAGGAUCUUGUUCCAAGUCAAUGAAGAACAACUCGGGUUCUGAAUCUAAGCUGGAGCUUACAAACUUGGGCAGGCUUCUUACAUUUAUGAGGUAUAUCAUAUCCUCUAUAACCAUAACCUUCAGAUCUUUAAAAACUGGUAAACCCUAUAAGAAAAAAGCAGGAAUCAAAUCAGCUACAAAUAUACUCAAGUACUAAUGUGCUUGAAGAAUAACUAGAGCCUAACCUCUCGGAUGAGCUCAAGAAGUGACAGCAAACGAUUCUGUAGCUCAGGCAUCUUUCCACCAUAGUCAAUCAUCACAACUGGUCUCAUUCCUGUGCAUAAUGCCAGAACAUCUGGUCCAAGAAACCCGAUUUAGCAUCGUUUACAGAUUCAAGCAUAUGACAACAAAUUGAGAUAAUACUAGAAUCUAGUGUUGAUAUAUGAACGCUUUAUAAUGCACGAAAUGGCUUUAUUCUUUGGGUUCUUAAACAGAGCAAUCAAAGCACCAUCAAACUUAAGAAUCAAUUUUUCGUUCCUCAAGGAAUUGUUAAGAGCAUAUACUCAUAUAAACUAUAACCCAAAUUCCCAAAUUGAAUCAUGAAUAUCAAAGAGUCGCAAAACAUAAGAAAAAAGUGGAAUUCAUGAGACCUAUUUCGAGACGGCGUUUGGAAUUGCUCUUGAGUCUCCAUUUGAUCUGAGAGAGGCAAGAACUCAGAAACUGAAGUAGUUCCUCAGAGCUUGGAACCUCCAUAUUCGCAGAAAAAUUGGAGCUUUCUUCUUCUCUGUCGCAAUAAGACUCAGUGAUACCCUUUCUCUAUCGGACGUUUUGUUCUUAGAGGAAAUUACAAUAUGGACCCUAAACUUUCUAGUUUCUCAUAACACACCCUAACUUUAAAAUAACACCAAUUAUGUCACCCACGUGUCAAGUUUUCACGGGAGGGGUGAUGACGAAGAACAACGUAUUUUCACACGUGCGAACAAUAGGCUUCACACGACUUUUCUUUCGUUAUUUUUUUCCACAUUGGAUCUAAUCACUUUUGCAAUUCACCGGAACUUAGCCGACGAGCGCUGAUCAAAUCAACCGGAGAAGCAAAGCUAUAGAUCUACUAUCUCCUUCACAGUUGCUAUCAGGUCUGUGUUCGUCUUCAUUUUUACCAAAUCCUGAUUGUUACAAUUUUCUUCGUUUUCUUCUGUGUUUAUCUUCGUUUUCUUCGGUUUAAAUAAUGGGAUAUUUCUUGUCGAAAUCUGGAUUCUAUGCGCAUGUUUAGUCACGGAUAAUAUCGGAAACCCCUGGAGUAUCAGCAAUGUCGUAAUUUUUCUGGUUUGCUUAGUGAAUUCUCUGUGAAGGAAAUAUAGAAAAGAAAGUAGAUAACGUGAAGAAAUUGUUGUGAUUGAGCAAUAAGAGAUAGAGAGAAUAGAAGUAAUUGAUGGUUUCUUGAGUGUUGGUGAUAUUUUGAUGGUUGGAUUUUUUUAUGUAUAAAGAAAGCUUAUAAACAAGAAUCAUGCAAAGAAAUUUUGUUCUUUAUGCUUAUGGAGUUUAUAGUUAGUCAAAUUAUUAACGGUAAGCUCUUUGUGUUGGUUUUGUUUGAAUGUCAGAGAUGUAUAAUAAUAUGGGACCCCGGCCUGGAAUGGCAAUGCCUCAGGCAAAUCCUCAGCCUAGCCCAUUUGGGAAUCCGUUCUCUGGACCUGGCUCUGGACUUAUCCGGAGUGGCUUGGGAGCUUAUGGGGAGAAGAUUUUCGGUUCUAGCUCUGAGUAUGUGCAGAGCAACGUAAGUUACUCCUAUCUGUCACUCUAGGUUUUUCCAGUCUGUUCAUUACUUGGCGUUUCAUUUGUUUUAACCGGUUGAAAAUUAACAGAUAAGUCGCUACUUCUCCGAUCCUCAAUACUAUUUUCAAGUGAAUGACCAGUAUGUGAGGAACAAGUUGAAGAUUGUUCUACUUCCAUUCCUUCACAGGGUAAAUCUCACUUUUUUGGUAUGCUUUUUUCUUUGUAUUUGGGGUCUUUCUCAUAUGAGUUUUGCUGCGACCUCAGGGACACUGGACUCGAAUAUCAGAACCAGUUGGGGGUAGACUUUCAUACAAACCACCGAUAUACGAUAUAAAUGCACCAGACUUAUACAUUCCGCUUAUGGCCUUUGGCACUUACGUUGUUCUUGCUGGUUUGUCACUAGGACUCUAUGGAAAGUAAGUUCUUUAUUUAUGUUGUAACUAUUCUGGUUUAAGUCUUCUAGAGUGCCUUUUCAACAUUUUGAUCCUUCUGAAUUUUCUAGGUUUACUCCAGAAGCUCUGAACUGGCUUUUUGUGAAAGGAAUGGUUGGCUGGUUUUUGCAAGUGAUGCUGCUGAAGAUAACAUUGCUUUCACUUGGAAGCGGAGAAGCCCCUCUCUUGGAUAUUGUGGCAUAUGCAGGCUAUACUUUCACAGGCCUUUGUCUAGCUGUUCUUGGCAAGAUAAUCUGGGGAUACUCUUACUAUGUUUUGAUUCCGUGGACCUGCUUAUGCACUGGGGUAUUCUUAGUGAAGACAAUGAAGCGAGUUCUCUUUGCAGAAUCUAGGAGUUAUGACUCAAGCAGGCAUCACUAUCUCUUGAUCUUUGUUGCUUUAGCCCAGUUUCCUCUUUUGAUCUGGCUUGGUAACAUUAGUGUGAAUUGGCUCUUUUGAAACGCAUUACGUUUAUAUUGUUGUGAAAAACACCUCUGAGGUUAUGUAGCAGAAUUUGGAAUGUCCUCCUGAUGGAUAUAUUAUAUGGUAGUUGAGCUUUUUUGGUUUAGACUUCUGUAUGUCAAACAUCAAUAUGGAAAGAAAAGUGUUAUCUCCCUUCCCUUUUCUGAAUCUCACUUUUCAUAUACUACAUUUCUAACAUGAUUGAAAACCGAACAAGGACAUGAAAUUUGCUUUGGUAAUUAUGCUUUCUAACAGAAACUGCUUCCCAUGCGCUUGAUCUCUACUCCAAGCUCCCCAGCAUUGCAUUGGUGCAUUGUGAUUUUGGCUUUUGUGUUCCUUGGCAGAUUUGAACAUUCUUAGGACAUUGCAGACAGUUGUUCGAUAGGUUUCCUCUGAUCUGUUUGGUAAUCUUUUGAAACUCCUCAGGAAGUAUACCUGACAGGUAGUUGUUCUCCAAGUAUAAGCUUCUCCAUGAAUUCUCCAGUCUUUUCCCAUAAAUCCUAGGAAUAUCGCCAGAGAACAUGUUGCUCCGUAGAUUGAUAUCCUUUAGGUUUUCAUAAGUUGCCAGGUUCAGCGGAAGGUGCCCCUGUAAAUGGUUUCCUUCAGCAUCAAGCAUGCGCAGGCGUGAUCCUGUAACUUUAAUAACCUCUAUGGAUAUGAACUGGUUAAAAGACACAUUGAUGCGUGCAAUCUCAGGGAAUGUUAGGAUUUCAUGGCCAACGGUGCCUGAGAAUCUGUUCUGGCUCACAUCUAAAGACACAAGCUGUUUUAGCCUAUGCAAGGGUGAUAUACGUCCUGCAAGGCUAUUGAAACAGAGUGAUAGAGUUCUUAGACUUGGGGGAAGCUUAGGAAGCAUUCCAUAAAGAUGAUUGUUACCGAGUUCUAAUACUUGUAGCUUCCACAAGCCGUUGAGCGCAGGUAUUCUUCCAUCGAGAUGGUUGUUUGAUAGGACCAGGUGAGUCAAACUUCUCAAGGCUGAGAUCCUUGGAGGGAUUUCACCGGCGAUACUGUUUUUCGACAGGUCGAUGGUUUUGAGCUCCUUGAGCCGCGUGAUUUCUGCUGGUAUGUCUCCAGUGAAGAAAUUUUCUGCUAGUGAGAGUUUGGUAAGUUUCCGGAGCUGGAACACAGAUUCUGGUACUGGACCGCGGAAUCUGUUUUUGUUGAGGCUAAGGACAGUGAGCUCAGUUAGGUUUCCUACUUCAUCAGAGAGGAAACCGUCAUAACCGUCAUCAUCAAGAUCGAUCUCUAUAACCCGGCUAGUUGUGUUCUCCAGAGGGAAAGAACACAUAACUCCCAAGAACGUCCCUGAGCCUUCACACGGGUCUUCAGAGAAGUCCCAUGUGCUGAGGUAAGAGGAUGGAGAGAUGGAACUUGGAUCAACGCUGCGUAUUAUAGACUCUAGAGCUUGAAUAUCAGAUCGAAGAGUGGCUGAUAGAACUGAUGAAGGGACAAUAAGUGAAAGAAGUAGAAAGAACAAGGACAUGAUGAAUACUAAGGAAGAAGAAGCAGAAGAAGAAGAUGGUAGUAUUUUGACAGCCAUUGUUAUGGUUCUUCUUUAAGAGGAAAGAUGGAACCAUUUCUUUUUAAGUGAGUAUUCUUGUAAGAAGAAGAAUAAGGAGAAGAAGAAGAUCGUGUUGAACCUAAUUGGAAUCUAACAUGCUUCAAAGGGUUUUGGGUAUGUUAUUGGUGAGAUUCACAUCUUUGUAGCAUCAUCAUUAAUAAAUGAUAUAUCAAACAAAAUAUGGAUUGACUCACAUUUAGUUUUUCUUUUUCCAUGCUUUUUCCGUUCACGGACUUGGACAAUAUCACUUUGUUACAAUAAAAAUCACAAACAAAGUGAUAAUAACUUAUGGUUAUUAAUUUUUCAUGAAGUUUUACUUUGAAUUCAAACUUUUGUAAAAUUCACAUGAUAGGCAUGUGUCAGCUUGAAAUUUGGAAGAUAAAUUUAGAAUUCAAUCUAAGAAACCACAAAACUAGAGGUGAUCAUUUGACCAAUUAUCUAAGUAAAGACUAUUGAAACAUUCCACAAAAUUUUAAUUUUAGUAAUUCACUAUAUAUAGACGUUUGAUUUUACAUAUAAAUACAUUGAUGAUUCAACCAAAAGAUACAGAAAACAAAAAAAAAAAAUAAAACCAAAAACAGAAAAAAAAACAAAAAAAAAAACAAGAACCAUUUAAAAAGCUUAUCAAGCACAAUGGCCAUCGAAAAGAGAACCAUGAUUGCCUCCUUCAUCAUCGUUCUGAUGAUGGUAACGAUGAUCGCAACCAACGUUGAGGCCCGGAAUCAUGUCAAAAUCAAGCCACCAGCAAACCCCAAGUUCUUCUUUUUCUAAAUUGAUGGCUCAUAAUGUUUACAAGAAAUAAAUGGUUGGCUUCAACAAGGAGCUUCAAGCCUUCAAGCAUUAGUUAAACUAAUGUUUACUUUUUAUAUAUAUAUAUAUAUAUAUAUAUAUUCACUUUCAUCCUCUUAUUUGUUUUAGCUAUGGGUGAGAUUAUCUAAAUAAAUUUUUAUAAAUAAUAACAUUUAUACUUGAAUAAAAUAAACUAGUUUCAAAUUUCAGUCACAAAGAUUUAUUUUAUGUUGUAGCUAGAAAUUAAUAACAAUUAUCAUUUAUCAAUAUAUUUGUUUUUAGUUUAAAGAGGGUAUAAUAUCCUUAAAUUAAUAAUAUUAGUAAAAUUGUGUUAUUUAGUUGUCUUGUGUCUCGA